This 460-nucleotide ribosomal RNA is filed under the name uncultured bacterium. RNAcentral describes it as "partial 16S ribosomal RNA". It matches the Rfam family "Bacterial small subunit ribosomal RNA", at positions 338 to 795 of the family's 1533-position model. The record is from RNAcentral.
CCUACGGGUGGCAGCAGUGAGGAAUAUUGGUCAAUGGGCGGAAGCCUGAACCAGCCAAGUCGCGUGAGGGAUUAAGGCCCUGCGGGUCGUAAACCUCUUUUGCCGGGGAGCAGAGGUCCGGACGUGCCCGGGCCGGGAUAGUACCCGGAGAAAAAGCAUCGGCUAACUCCGUGCCAGCAGCCGCGGUAAUACGGAGGAUGCGAGCGUUAUCCGGAUUUAAUGGGGUAAAGGGGUGCGUAGGCGGGCAUUUAAGCCGGCGGUAAAAUGUCGGGGCUCAACCCCGGCCUGCCGUCGGAACUGGGUGCCUUGAGUGGGCGAGAGGUAUGCGGAAUUCGUGGUGUAGCGGUGAAAUGCAUAGAUAUCACGCAGAACCCCGAUUGCGAAGGCAGCAUACCGGCGCCCUACUGACGCUGAGGCACGAAAGUGCGGGUAUCGAACAGGAUUAGAUACCCCUGUAGUC